GCAGCUACACAUUUUUAAAGUGUUCAUAUGGCACGUUUAGUUUCCUCAAAAUAGCUCAGCGCGUACACGCUUUCGUUCUGGUGACGUCACAUCCCAGAGGGCGGGGCUCCGAGCAGGUGUAUUUCACAGGUGUAAAGAAAAGUAAGUGCCAGAGGAGAAGUACGAGCCCGUUUGGUCCCGUUGUUUCAAGUAGGCUAGACUCUAGGUGUGCAAUGGCUCCGAAGUGUAUCGGGGGCUGCGCCGCGUUAUUUGUCCUCGCGAUUACAUUUGAUAUAAUCGGGUUUGCUUUGAUUUUGGUCGGUAUUUUUGCCAAUCUGCGAUUGGACGGCAGAUUUUACGGAGACUUUUUAAUCUAUACAGGCUCUUUAAUAGUUUUUCUCAGUCUUUUCUGGUGGAUCAUGUGGUACACUGGGAAUAUUAGAGUUUCCUCUGAGGAUGUGGAGAAGAGGACUUUUGAUAACUUUGCGCACUGGGCGAGGAAGCUCUCGGAGCGUCUGUCCAAAAAGAGGAUGAACGGCGAGAAGUGCAUGGAUGACAUAAAGAAGUCGUUGAACGGCGAUGUGACACAUCACGCUCCGAGGCGGAUAACGUGGGAAAACUCCGGAACCGCGGGGCGCGUGAAUGAAGCGUACGACCGAAGCUCCGACGCGCCACCGAGUGAGAAGACCGUGGAGCUGGAGAUCCUGAAGAACCCCGAGAUGUUCCUGCAGAGCUGCGGGAAGGCGGAGAGAUUUCUCUGAACAGCGACUGGUACGUGCAUUUUACUUCUGUCUAAGUCUAAGACGAGGAAAAGCAGCAGUAAGACUGGAAUGUUUUAACCAAACCUUCAUAUUUGGACUGACUGAGAAAUGAAGUCAUUAAUCAGGGAUUUUCAAUGAGCACUUUACACAUGAUUAAUACAUUUGUACUUUUAUCUUGUGGAGUGAAAGUUUUAUUUCAGAUUUUAUGUUUGUAUUCAUCUUUAUUAAAUAAAGGUUUCAGAAAAU
This is a long non-coding RNA of Carassius carassius (crucian carp), 986 nucleotides long. RefSeq lists it as uncharacterized. NCBI's taxonomy places the organism in Eukaryota, Metazoa, Chordata, Actinopteri, Cypriniformes, Cyprinidae. The transcript is spliced from 2 exons. The record is from RefSeq and is a predicted model, not a curated record.